CUCAAAGGAAUUGACGGGGCCCGCACAAGCGGUGGAGUAUGUGGUUAAUUCGAUGCAACGCGAAGAACCUUACCUGGUCUUGACAUCCCGGAGACCCUUAGGAAACUAGGGGGUGCUUCCAUCUGGAAGAAUCUGGAGACAGGUGCUGCAUGGCUGUCGUCAGCUCGUGUCGUGAGAUGUUGGGUUAAGUCCCGCAACGAGCGCAACCCUUGCCUUUAGUUGCCAGCAGUUCGGCUGGGCACUCUAAAGGGACUGCCGGUGUUAAACCGGAGGAAGGUGGGGAUGACGUCAAGUCCUCAUGGCCUUUAUGACCAGGGCUACACACGUACUACAAUGGCCGAUACAAAGGGCAGCGACACUGCGAGGUGAAGCCAAUCCCGUAAAAUCGGUCUCAGUCCGGAUUGGAGUCUGCAACUCGACUCCAUGAAGUUGGAAUCGCUAGUAAUCGUGGAUCAGCAUGCCACGGUGAAUACGUUCCGGGCCUU
RNAcentral lists this ribosomal RNA (485 nucleotides) under uncultured Desulfobulbus sp. Its description in RNAcentral is "bacterial SSU rRNA". It matches the Rfam family "Bacterial small subunit ribosomal RNA", at positions 900 to 1382 of the family's 1533-position model. Lineage: Bacteria; Pseudomonadati; Thermodesulfobacteriota; Desulfobulbia; Desulfobulbales; Desulfobulbaceae. The record is from RNAcentral.